MicroRNA precursor from Ochotona princeps (American pika), 72 nucleotides. The record is from Ensembl. NCBI's taxonomy places the organism in Eukaryota, Metazoa, Chordata, Mammalia, Lagomorpha, Ochotonidae.
GAUGCUGGCCAAGGGCGCCCGGGCCGGGUCUCCGCUCCGGCCCCUCCUGGGGCCCGCACUCUCCCGCCGGGC